This 493-nucleotide ribosomal RNA is filed under the name uncultured bacterium. RNAcentral's name for it is "bacterial SSU rRNA". It matches the Rfam family "Bacterial small subunit ribosomal RNA", at positions 28 to 521 of the family's 1533-position model. The record is from RNAcentral.
GAUGAACGCUAGCGGCAGGCCUAACACAUGCAAGUCGAGGGGUAGAAUUAGCUUGCUAAUUUGAGACCGGCGCACGGGUGCGUAACGCGUAUGCAAUCUACCUUGUACAGGGGGAUAGCCCAGAGAAAUUUGGAUUAAUACUCCAUGGUAUAAUUGAAUCGCAUGGUUUGAUUAUUAAAGUUCCAACGGUACAAGAUGAGCAUGCGUCCCAUUAGCUAGUUGGUGUGGUAACGGCAUACCAAGGCGACGAUGGGUAGGGGUCCUGAGAGGGAGAUCCCCCACACUGGUACUGAGACACGGACCAGACUCCUACGGGAGGCAGCAGUGAGGAAUAUUGGUCAAUGGUCGAAGACUGAACCAGCCAUGCCGCGUGCAGGAAGACGGUCCUAUGGAUUGUAAACUGCUUUUGUACGGGAAGAAACACUCCUUCGUGAAGGAGCUUGACGGUACCGUAAGAAUAAGGAUCGGCUAACUCCGUGCCAGCAGCCGCGGU